RNAcentral lists this ribosomal RNA (253 nucleotides) under uncultured prokaryote. RNAcentral's name for it is "partial 16S ribosomal RNA". It matches the Rfam family "Bacterial small subunit ribosomal RNA", at positions 525 to 777 of the family's 1533-position model. The record is from RNAcentral.
ACGAAGGUGGCAAGCGUUGUUCGGAUUUACUGGGCGUACAGGGAGCGUAGGCGGUUGGGUAAGCCCUCCGUGAAAUCUCCGGGCCUAACCCGGAAAGUGCGGAGGGGACUGCUCGGCUAGAGGAUGGGAGAGGAGCGCGGAAUUCCCGGUGUAGCGGUGAAAUGCGUAGAGAUCGGGAGGGAGGCCGGUGGCGAAGGCGGUCUGCUGGGCCGUUGCUGACGCUGAGGUGCGACAGCGUGGGGAGCAAACAGGA